AUGCAGCCCCUCCACGCCGUUCAACUCAUGCAGCCAGCUGGCUCAAAGCCAAUAGUACUGCACGCCGGACCCGGAGGAGGACUUCGGGGAGGGGUACAAGGGGAAGCAGGUGGUGGUGGAGAACCUGCGGCAGCUGUGCGUGCACCGGGUGGCCAACGAGAGCGGGCGGCCGUGGGCGUGGUGGGACUUCGCCAUGGACUACAAGCCGCGGUGCUCCAUGAAGGAGAAGAAGUACAGCAAGGCGCGCACCGAGGAGGUGGUGGCCUCGCUCGGGCUAUCGCUGGAGAAGGUGCUGGCGUGCAUGGGCGACCCCGACGCCGACGCCGACAACGCCGUGCUGUCCAAGGAGUAGGAGGACUAGAUCGGGCGCGGGUCGCACGGGACAUCACCAUCCUGCCCAUGCUCGUCAUCAACGAUGUCCAGUACAGAGGGAAGCUGGAGAGGACGGCGGUGCUCAAGGCCGUGUGCGCCGGCUUCAAGGAGGGGACCGAGCCUCAAGUCUGCCUGAGCCAUGACAUGGAGACGAACGAGUGCCUGCACCGGAACGGCGGGUGCUGGCGGGACGAGGCGAUGAACGUGACGGCGUGCAGGGACACGUACCGGGGCAGGGUGUGCGAGUGCCAUGUGGUGAAUAGCGUCUGCUAUGGCGGCGACGGGUACACCCACUACAAAGGUCGACUGCGCCGCCACACGAAGUUCACAGGCCAUAGCUGCGGACGGACGAAAUUCCAACUGUACCGCAACCCCUCAAGAUCCACAGUGGUCAAAGAUGGUGCUCCACAGUUGUUCGGUGUAAUGCCCAAGGAGCAAACAAUGUCUCUCUCACUUUUGUUUUUCGAAAGACCUACCUAUCAUCUUGCCGCUGUUGCGUUAGAGUGGCUCCAUCUGCAGAUGGGGGAGGUCUCGACCUGCAGCUGGGAGAAGUCUCGACCUGCACCUGGUCACGCGCGCCACUGCCACUUAGGUCCACCACCUACAGCCGGCGCCGCAGUGCCUCGACCGUUCAACUAUGCCACCUCAGCAGUUCAAUAUAUAUUGGAGAAGAAGAAAAAACAAUAG
RNAcentral lists this ribosomal RNA (1059 nucleotides) under Triticum aestivum (bread wheat). RNAcentral describes it as "partial small subunit ribosomal RNA". The record is from RNAcentral. Lineage: Eukaryota; Viridiplantae; Streptophyta; Magnoliopsida; Poales; Poaceae.